AGUAGCACGUGGAUAACCUACCUAUAAGACUGGGAUAACUUCGGGAAACCGGAGCUAAUACCGGAUAAUAUAUUGAACCGCAUGGUUCAAUAGUGAAAGACGGUUUUGCUGUCACUUAUAGAUGGAUCCGCGCUGCAUUAGCUAGUUGGUAAGGUAACGGCUUACCAAGGCAACGAUGCGUAGCCGACCUGAGAGGGUGAUCGGCCACACUGGAACUGAGACACGGUCCAGACUCCUACGGGAGGCAGCAGCA
RNAcentral lists this ribosomal RNA (253 nucleotides) under uncultured Staphylococcus sp. RNAcentral describes it as "partial 16S ribosomal RNA". It matches the Rfam family "Bacterial small subunit ribosomal RNA", at positions 109 to 355 of the family's 1533-position model. The record is from RNAcentral. Lineage: Bacteria; Bacillati; Bacillota; Bacilli; Caryophanales; Staphylococcaceae.